CUCACCAGCCGCCCAUGACCAGUUGUUUUCAAUGGGUGACAGACCUGGAUAUCGUGCAAGCUAGGACAGCAGUCGAAUACCCUGUGUAUCGAGGAAGGUCACAGCACGACGUGCAACAUGUGGUCUUGCAUCAUCUUGUUGGAAUAUAGCGUUUGGAGGCCUCGAAGAUAGGGUUCAAAAACUGGACGUAAGAUGUCAGAAAUGCACCCAUCUGUAUUCAAAUUGCCGUCGAAUCCGAACUAGAGAUGUGCGUAUCGUGUACGCAAUGGCUGCCCAAACUAUCACACCAGGUACAGGGCCUAUACCGAUAUCGAAUGCAAGCUAGUGAACUGCUGUCUCCUCUAACACUUCAGACACGUUAAUAAUAAAUACGAAUAGAAUAACAGAAUGCAUAUGAUGGAAUUCAUAUACAGAAGAGAUUAGGAGAAAUUGCCUAAGACAUCUAGUCCUUGAUUACGCUAAGAGUAUUUGUCUACUGCUGAUUUUCCUUGCAAAUAUCGUAAAUAGGUGAAAUAUAAAUCCGAAUUUAUGCCUGCGCUUUUAAAUGAUGACAAUCACAAAGCAAUAUGGAUCCCGAAUACAUGUUUGAACAUGAAGACUUAACUUUGCAUGAUCAAUUGAUUGAUAUUAUGGACUUUGGGGAUUUGAGACCAUCGCAGCUGGAUUCAUGUUUUGUUGAUACCUUUACUUUGACUUGUCUUGAAUAUAAUAAAAGCUUUUAGACAACGGAGGAAUUUAAUGCGUCACAUUAAUGUUCAACAUUCGACAGGCAGAAAUAUUUGUUCCAUCCACCAGAAUAUCUUUCGAAGCUCAGAUAAACUGGAUCGUCAUAUGAAGGUUCAUUCGAAAACACUGAAGCCGGGACCAUACAGUGAAACGAGUAGUUCGGCCGCCUUCAAGCCUGUCCUAAACGAGCUCUCCAGGAACGCUCACUUUGAAUUUUCGACGCGGAGGUCAUUUAUCUCAAUGAAGCCACUAGCAAGAACUUGCAAAUCUUUUAAAAUUCAUCAAAAACAAAAAUCUUGAACAAAAUUCUAGAAGCUGACCAGAGCUUAAAUUGCGCCGGAGCUCGGCUCCGGUACUUCUUAGUUUUGGGGACAUACUCUAAUUCUAGCCGGAGCCCUAAAUAAGAAGGCUCUGUCAC
Molecule: long non-coding RNA, 1144 nt
Organism: Stegodyphus dumicola
Lineage: Eukaryota; Metazoa; Arthropoda; Arachnida; Araneae; Eresidae
Source: RefSeq, a predicted model, not a curated record